AGUGGCGGACGGGUGAGUAACGCGUGGGUAACCUGCCUCAUACAGGGGGAUAACAGUUAGGAAUGACUGCUAAUACCGCAUAAGACCACAGCACCGCAUGGUGCAGGGGUAAAAACUCCGGUGGUAUGAGAUGGACCCGCGUCUGAUUAGGUAGUUGGUGGGGUAACGGCCUACCAAGCCGACGAUCAGUAGCCGACCUGAGAGGGUGACCGGCCACAUUGGGACUGAGACACGGCCCAA
Molecule: ribosomal RNA, 240 nt
Filed under: uncultured bacterium
Lineage: Bacteria
Description: partial 16S ribosomal RNA
Rfam family: Bacterial small subunit ribosomal RNA
Source: RNAcentral